Molecule: ribosomal RNA, 453 nt
Filed under: uncultured bacterium
Lineage: Bacteria
Description: bacterial SSU rRNA
Rfam family: Bacterial small subunit ribosomal RNA
Source: RNAcentral
UACGGAAGGCAGCAGUGGGGAAUAUUGCACAAUGGGCGAAAGCCUGAUGCAGCUAUGCCGCGUGCAUGAAGAAGGCCUUAGGGUUGUAAAGUACUUUCAUCGGGGAGGAAAAACAAAACUAAUAAUUUUAUUUCUUGACGUUACCCGAAAAAGAAGCACCGGCUAACUCCGUGCCAGCAGCCGCGGUAAUACGGAGGGUGCUAGCGUUAAUCAGAAUUACUGGGCGUAAAGAGCACGUAGGUGGUUUUUUUAAGUCAGAUGUGAAAUCCCUGGGCUUAACCUGGAACUGCAUUUUUGAAACUGAAAUACUAGAGUAUCGUAGAGGGAGGUAGAAUUCUAGGUGUAGCGGUGAAAUGCGUAGAUAUCUGGAGGAAUACCUGUGGCGAAAGCGGCCUCCUAAACGAAUACUGACACUGAGGUGCGAAAGCGUGGGGAGCAAACAGGGAUUAGAUA